ACGGGUGAGUAAUGUCUGGGAAACUGCCCGAUGGAGGGGGAUAACUACUGGAAACGGUAGCUAAUACCGCAUAACGUCGCAAGACCAAAGUGGGGGACCUUCGGGCCUCACACCAUCGGAUGUGCCCAGAUGGGAUUAGCUAGUAGGUGGGGUAAUGGCUCACCUAGGCGACGAUCCCUAGCUGGUCUGAGAGGAUGACCAGCCACACUGGAACUGAGACACGGUCCAGACUCCUACGGGAGGCAGCAGUGGGGAAUAUUGCACAAUGGGCGCAAGCCUGAUGCAGCCAUGCCGCGUGUAUGAAGAAGGCCUUCGGGUUGUAAAGUACUUUCAGCGGGGAGGAAGGCGGUGAAGUUAAUAGCUUCACCGAUUGACGUUACCCGCAGAAGAAGCACCGGCUAACUCCGUGCCAGCAGCCGCGGUAAUACGGAGGGUGCAAGCGUUAAUCGGAAUUACUGGGCGUAAAGCGCACGCAGGCGGUCUGUCAAGUCGGAUGUGAAAUCCCCGGGCUUAACCUGGGAACUGCAUUCGAAACUGGCAGGCUGGAGUCUUGUAGAGGGGGGUAGAAUUCCAGGUGUAGC
RNAcentral lists this ribosomal RNA (581 nucleotides) under uncultured bacterium. RNAcentral's name for it is "bacterial SSU rRNA". It matches the Rfam family "Bacterial small subunit ribosomal RNA", at positions 102 to 679 of the family's 1533-position model. The record is from RNAcentral.